GCUAUCUGUUGACUUCUGGUACGAGACAAGAUCUAUGCCCGUUCCUAAUUCGCUUCUCGAUUGCAAAAGUUUCAGUAAUCACCCUCUUCCCAAUUCCUUCUCCACUGAUUGCUAUCCAAGCAUUCGCUGUUUCCCCUCGAUCGCCAUGAGUAUCUCCUUUGACAUCGGUCAAUUCCUCAACAAAAUAUGCCACGUAGCUUCGAUCCACCUCGCCAGGCCUCGAUCUGGCGUCGAAGACUUGCACAUAGACGCGGAGCUAUUGGGGGCCAAACUGAGCGACGUCGACCGGGCCAUCAAUGAGGCUGCCGGCAACGGGCAAAUCGUCAUGGAAGAAGCUCUGGUGUGGAAGCGCCUGGCUGAGGCGUUUGUAUCUAAGGAGGCUGCCAUCCAACGGGACUACAACGAGAUGCGGUGCCUCGGGGGCUGGUCGUGGAAUUGCGUCUUCAUCAAUCGGAGGGUCACCGAGAUGAAGAAGAUGCAGGAGUUGAUUAGCCGAGGGAAUGAUAUUAGGGUUGUUGCGGCUCCGCCGCCAUCUUCUUCUCCUUCGCCGCCGCCGCUGCAACUGCCCGUGAAACUUCCCAUUUCAAAUAAUGUUGUUGGGAUGGAAUCAAAUGUUAUACAGAUUGUAAACCAGAUUAUGGAUGCAAAUGCCAGGGUUAUAGGAAUCUACGGUAUGGGGGGAAUAGGAAAGACGACACUUUUAAAGCUCAUCUGCAACCACGACGAGAUCUCCAAGCUCAAGUUUGAGUAUGUCAUCUGGAUUGUGGCUUCCAAAGGAUGCAAAUUGCAGAAGCUUCAGAUGGACCUAGCUAAGAAGGUAGGACUGAAGCUUGAAGAUGAUGAGAGUGAAGACGAUCGUGCUUCUAGGCUCUUUGACUCCCUCAAGGAAAAGAAUUGCUUGUUGUUUCUUGAUGAUAUUUGGGAAUCCUAUGAUCUUUAUAAGUUGGGGAUGGAAGAAGUACCUGCUGAGCAUGACAAAGAGCGGAAGCGCAAGGUGAUAAUUUUCACGACGCGCUACGAGCACAUAUGCACUGGAAUGAAUGCUAACGUGAUAAAAAAAGUGGAAGGCUUGUCAUCUGAUCAAGCAUGGGAACUCUUUCUGAAAUAUGCACGUGAAGAUGUAAUCAACUCAGAGCCAGGAAUUAAUCAACUAGCAAUCGAAAUUGCUAAAGAGUGUGCUGGUGUGCCCCUUGCUCUCAUCACUGUUGGCAGAGCCAUGUCCGCAAAGAGGUCAUGGGAGGUUUGGAAUGAUGCUCUCACACAGCUUAGGCAAUCACAAAUGCCAGAACUCACAGGUAUGAAAGAAUCAGAUCCUAUGUUUGCUGCCUUUAAACUUAGUUAUGAUAGCCUCGAAGAUGAUAACAUGAGAGCCCGGCUGUUGUGCUGCUCUUUGUGGCCUGAAGAUUUCGAAAUUGAUAAAGUCGAACUAAUACAGUGUUGGAUAGGUCUUGGACUAAUAGCUGAGCUUGACUCGAUCAAUAAAACAUUUCAGCGAGGGCACACUCAUAUCGAGACUCUUACAUCUGCAUGCUUGUUAGAGCUUGCUGAUAAGAAAUACGCGACAAGGAUCAAGAUGCAUGACAUAAUCCGAGACAUGACUCUAUGGAUUUCUUCGGACUGUGGAUUCAAUCAACACAAGUGGAUUGUUAAAGCACAGGCUAGAUUUAGUCAGUUGGAAUUAGAGAAUGAGAAAUGGCAAGUGGUAGAGCGUGCAUCAUUCAUGCAUAAUGAUUUAAGUUCUUUGCCAAGGCAUACUCCUACUUUUCCCAAGCUUUCCAUGCUCAUGCUCCAAGGGAACUAUAAGUUGAGCUUAAUUCCCGGGCCAUUUCUCCAAGCUUUGCCUGUUUUGACGUUCUUGGAUCUCUCGAACACAAAAAUCACAGAGCUUCCAAGGGAAAUAAACAUGUUAUCUGAGCUCCAACAUUUAAACUUGAAUAUGACCCCAGUCGAAGCAUUGCCAGCAGAGUUGAGUAGCCUUGCUAAACUCAAGUACUUACUUCUAGUAAGGACUAAUCGUCUUGCGAAAGUACCCAAGGGAACAAUAUCCAACUUACCUUUACUCAAAUUGUUGGAUUUAUACGAAAGUAAGUAUGCUGACUUGGAUGAGCUAGAGGAAUUUAAAGGAUGCCGAAGAUGCAUUGGAAUUACCUUGCAAUCAGUGACAACCCUGGAUCAGUUGGUCUCUCUACAACAAUUGUCUACAUGGAAACUCCAACUAAAAAACAUCAGUGACUUAGCUUAUCCAAGCCAACUAUUUGAAAGCAUCAUGAGUAGCCACAACAUAAGGAAGAGCCUUGAACGACUAGAGAUUGUAAAUGUCCAAACAGGUGAUGAAUUAAUAGUUGCUCGGAACAACAGGGAUCGUGAAGAAGGCCUUGAAUGUUUGAGGUAUAUGGUUCUCAAAGCUGUCGAUGAUUUGCAGGAAAUCACUUGGAAAGCAGUCAAACCUCAAACGGUAUUUCCUAAUCUUCGCGAAUUGAAAAUUUCUGAAUGCAAAAUGUUGAGAAAUGUCACCUGGGUUCUUCAGCUACCACACCUCAGUGUCUUGACAGUAUCAAAUUGUGAUAAGAUUGAAGAAUUGAUAAGUUGUGUUGGGGAUUCCGUCAACUCUAGCAGUAGCCUACGGUUACUGUCUUUGGCUCAAUUGCCUAAAUUAAACUGCAUCUCACAACAGCCACUAACCUUCCCCUACUUGGAGCAGAUAUGUGUAAACUCAUGCCCAAAUCUCAGAAAGCUGCCUUUUGGCGUUGAAAUUUGUCAAAAUAAAUUGAAAGAUAUAUUUGGCCAAACGGAUUGGUGGAACAAUAUCCGGUGGGAAGAUGCCAAUGAUAAGAUUUCUCUCACACCCUAUUUCAAGUCGACUUAUAUGCAAAAAAUUGUGUUGAAAUUGAACAUGGAGGAUGCUAAAUCUAGAGCUAAAGCUCUCAAGACUGCUGUAAGAAUUCAUGGUGUUGUAUCAGUAACGCUGGAGAAUGACCUUCUGAUCAUGAAUGGUGACCAGGUUGACCUGGUGGCACUUUCUAAGACAAUGCGAAGAAAUUUUGGUUGGGUGGAGCUCAUCAGUAUUUCCGAGAUGGUGGAUUAAUCAUUGCUCAGAGUAAGCCUUGAAUCGGAGGCGCUGGGACGAACGAAUUAUCUUUUGUCAUAUGAAGAAGACAUUGAAUAUUUGAGGAAAAGAAGAAGAAUGGAAGAAGGAAAAGCAAGUGUUUACUGAGGCAGAAGAGGAUGAUGAUUUAUAUUUAUAUUUUUUUUAUAUUGUUUGAUAUGAAACUUAUUGAACUAUGACAUCUGUAUAUUUAUGGAUAUGAUGAGUUUGUAAGCAUAUGUGAUGAGUUUGUAAGCAUAUGACUUGUAUGAUUAUAUUUGUUUUGAUUUGUUUUUUAGGAUUUCAUUUUGGAUAUUUGGACUUGUAUGAAUGACUUGUUUAGAUGAAUUGUGUAUAUACGAUGUGUUGGAUUGCUUAA
This is an RNA transcript of Zingiber officinale, 3464 nucleotides long. It is a transcript of the gene named probable disease resistance protein At1g61300, with no coding region annotated. Lineage: Eukaryota; Viridiplantae; Streptophyta; Magnoliopsida; Zingiberales; Zingiberaceae. The transcript has 5 exons. The record is from RefSeq and is a predicted model, not a curated record.